CACAUGGAGCACAUUCUCACAGCUGGAUGGUGCCCAGGCUCUCCCUCAUGGCUGUUGAGCAUGGGAUUAGUGUCCUGAGAAUAAGAAGGGCUCUAAUCAAAGCUGCCUACUCCAGUUGGCCUCUGCCUGGCCAGCAGCUCCCUGCUACUGCUGCCCCCUGCAAAUUGUGCCUUGGCAGCCUCUUCUUCUGGUGGGAUCUGCUGCCACCCUCUGCCUGGAGGAGUCUGCAACCAGCUCCUGCGCUAAAGAUCUGAAGAUGGCUUGUUUCAAGUGACCCAUUUUUUUCCGAGGGGCUCUGCACUGGCUUCUGGAUCGUCCUUGAGAAAUCUGUUCUGAUUUAGUGGGAGUUACACAAACAGGCAAGUGUUUUCAUUCUUUAA
Molecule: long non-coding RNA, 380 nt
Organism: Poecile atricapillus (Black-capped chickadee)
Lineage: Eukaryota; Metazoa; Chordata; Aves; Passeriformes; Paridae
Exons: 3
Source: RefSeq, a predicted model, not a curated record